UGUUGGGUUAAGUCCCGCAACGAGCGCAACCCUCGUUCUAUGUUGCCAGCGCGUAAAGGCGGGGACUCAUAGGAGACUGCCGGGGUCAACUCGGAGGAAGGUGGGGACGACGUCAAAUCAUCAUGCCCCUUAUGUCUUGGGCUUCACGCAUGCUACAAUGGCCGGUACAAUGGGUUGCGAUACUGUGCGGUGGAGCUAAUCCCAAAAAGCCGGUCUCAGUUCGGAUUGGGGUCUGCAACUCGACCCCAUGAAGUCGGAGUCGCUAGUAAUCGCAGAUCAGCAACGCUGCGGUGAAUACGUUCCCGGGCCUUGUACACACCGCCCGUCAAGUCACGAAAGUUGGUAACACCCGAAGCCGGUGGCCUAACCCCUUGUGG
This 377-nucleotide ribosomal RNA is filed under the name uncultured Actinomycetes bacterium. RNAcentral describes it as "bacterial SSU rRNA". It matches the Rfam family "Bacterial small subunit ribosomal RNA", at positions 1073 to 1446 of the family's 1533-position model. The record is from RNAcentral. Lineage: Bacteria; Bacillati; Actinomycetota; Actinomycetes.